GAACCUACGGGGCGCAGCAGUGAGGAAUAUUGGUCAAUGGGCGAGAGCCUGAACCAGCCAAGUCGCGUGAGGGAAGACUGCCCUAUGGGUUGUAAACCUCUUUUGUCAGGGAGCAACGCCGGCUACGUGUAGCCGGACUGAGAGUACCUGAAGAAAAAGCAUCGGCUAACUCCGUGCCAGCAGCCGCGGUAAUACGGAGGAUGCGAGCGUUAUCCGGAUUUAUUGGGUUUGAAGGGUGCGUAGGCGGAAUGCCAAGUCAGCGGUAAAAUCGCGGGGCUCAAUCUCGCUCCGCCGUUGAAACUGGC
This 305-nucleotide ribosomal RNA is filed under the name uncultured bacterium. Its description in RNAcentral is "bacterial SSU rRNA". It matches the Rfam family "Bacterial small subunit ribosomal RNA", at positions 333 to 637 of the family's 1533-position model. The record is from RNAcentral.